AACAAUUCCGUGGCUUUGCGUAUGAGUUCCUUUCCUCUGAGAGAAUCAAAGAAACAUCGGGGGGGGAUUCUGUGGUGUCCCUUUCUCCUGCCUCCUGCACUAAGGGGUGGGCCAUCCUGAGAAAACAGAGAGCCCUGACGUGAGUGAGGCCCAAGGACAGAGCUGGGGGAGGCUGAGCAAGCCCGAGUGCCCUCCUCCCUGCACCGGCCCUGACAGCCUCAGUGCUCCCCACUCGGCUGUAAGCAGGUGGGGCCGGUCCCAGGAGCAGCCUUCACCCCAUGCUAGCCUUGGGUGUGAUUUCUGAGCAAGCUCUCCCUCACCAGCACACACGGCCCCUCCCCUGACUCCUGCUCUCUCCCGCUCAGAACUCAUGUUCCAGAUGGGCUCAGCUGGCAAGCAUCUGAGACGCGUCUCAGCAUCUCGUCAUGGGCUCCUGAACCCCUGUGCGCAGCAGACGACCCACUGAGGCAGCAGGAGAGAGACGUUCCCCGAAGUCCAGCUGAGAGCAUGGCCUCAUCCGAUCCGGCCGUUUCCUGCUCCUCAGACCCAUCGUCUCUAUAAAGCACCCAGCUCAUCACAAAGGCCAGCUUCCUGAACGGAGCCUUCAUCACUGGAUAAAAAUGUAGCAUAAGGCACAGAUGGCAACUAUUGCUUUUACAUGUCUUCUGUCCUCUGCCUAGUCAUGAUAUUAAUAAACACACUGUUGAGGCUACA
Molecule: long non-coding RNA, 714 nt
Filed under: Meriones unguiculatus (Mongolian gerbil)
Lineage: Eukaryota; Metazoa; Chordata; Mammalia; Rodentia; Muridae
Description: lncRNA (ENSMUGG00000011021.1)
Source: RNAcentral